This 486-nucleotide ribosomal RNA is filed under the name uncultured bacterium. RNAcentral's name for it is "partial 16S ribosomal RNA". It matches the Rfam family "Bacterial small subunit ribosomal RNA", at positions 30 to 507 of the family's 1533-position model. The record is from RNAcentral.
AUUGAACGCUGGCGGCAUGCCUUACACAUGCAAGUCGAACGGCAGCACGGGUGCUUGCACCUGGUGGCGAGUGGCGAACGGGUGAGUAAUACAUCGGAACAUGUCCUGUAGUGGGGGAUAGCCCGGCGAAAGCCGGAUUAAUACCGCAUACGAUCUACGGAUGAAAGCGGGGGACCUUCGGGCCUCGCGCUAUAGGGUUGGCCGAUGGCUGAUUAGCUAGUUGGUGGGGUAAAGGCCUACCGAGGCGACGAUCAGUAGCUGGUCUGAGAGGACGACCAGCCACACUGGGACUGAGACACGGCCCAGACUCCUACGGGAGGCAGCAGUGGGGAAUUUUGGACAAAGGGCGAAAGCCUGAUCCAGCAAUGCCGCGUGUGUGAAGAAGGCCUUCGGGUUGUAAAGCACUUUUGUCCGGAAAGAAAUCCUUGGCCCUAAUACGGUCGGGGGAUGACGGUACCGGAAGAAUAAGCACCGGCUAACUACGUG